Molecule: long non-coding RNA, 163 nt
Organism: Amblyraja radiata (thorny skate)
Lineage: Eukaryota; Metazoa; Chordata; Chondrichthyes; Rajiformes; Rajidae
Exons: 3
Source: RefSeq, a predicted model, not a curated record
UGUAUUUCAGUAUAAGAAGCUACAGGUUGCUGGCUGGUGCCAGGAAGUUUGUCCCAGAUCAGUGUUUCAGAUAAGAAAUGUAUAAGUAUCUCUUCAAUUGUCAGUAUGUAUGAGAUUCUUGCUGAGGACCUCCAAAGUAUUGUAAAUGCAUGAGUUUGAUUGG